UGAUUGCAGGCCAUAUCUGCAGAAAGACAACCAAUAAUUGCACCGUGCAGACCAAGCCCGCAGCACGCAUUAUUUACAUCUUCGAAUCCGUAUUGUAGUGGAUUGGUCAUGAUCUCCAUAAUUCCUUGGUAUACAUCACAGAAGAUGAUCUGAGCAUCAGACAACUCUGUUUUUAGCUCCAUAAUAUGCUCAUCCAGUAUUAUGUUG
RNAcentral lists this unclassified non-coding RNA (207 nucleotides) under Hevea brasiliensis (rubber tree). Lineage: Eukaryota; Viridiplantae; Streptophyta; Magnoliopsida; Malpighiales; Euphorbiaceae. The record is from RNAcentral.